CACAGUGUAAGUAAUAAUAUUCUUAACAAAUUUAAUACAGAACAACCCAUAAUCAACCCAAAACCCGGUGCCACAAGUGCAUGAGCAUCAACUAGGAAUGUAACAUAAAAUACAGCAUUUGUCCGGAAUACAAUUUUGUACAGGAGAAAUAUAAAUACUCUAAAGGAGACUCUGCCGGCUGUGGGUCAUAAUAUGGAAUGCAGCUCACGUAAGUCCCCGCAUGCAUACAUGCCUCUGCUCUCACAAGGCCACUAGUCGCAUAUGUACCUGCACAAAAAUGUGCAGCAAGUGUAGUAUGAGUACGUAAUCAACAUGUACCUAGUAAGUAUCUAGCCUAACCUCGGAGGAGUAGUGACGAGGGGUCGACAUCGACACCCACUAGUGGUCCAAUAAUAUCAGGUACAGUAAAGAGGUAAGUAAAUAUGAGGCAGAGUAAAUAAAUGAGAUAAACAAGUAUAAAUCACGUGGUUCAAAUCUCCUUCUUUACGAGGAACCCAAGCUCUCCAUUAGAAAUUUCCUCCUUAACCGGAGCAUAUAUAUAGAUAUAGUGGAUCUCAUCAGAUAGAUUAUUAUUACUCAAAUCAGGAAAACUCACAGAUACAUUGUCUUCUUGCCAAAUAUUACGCACGAUUCCAUGAGGAUAUGAUUUAGGAAAUGUCGAGGCAUACGGCUCGAUCCAACAUAAAUAUUUAAACUGUGCACUGUCGAUGGUCGAACGGCACGAACCAUAGAUACAUCUAUUAAACUUCCGAGGCAAACACCCCGCUCCCAUAAAAGUGUGGUACAUAAAUCCUGCCGAGGCGAUCGGCCCGAUCCCAUAAGAGUGAAAUACAUAAUCCUGCCGAGGUGAACGACCCGAUCCCAUAAGAGUGAAAUACAUAAUCCCGCCGAGGCGAAUAGACCGAUCCCAUUAGAAUAGGAAGAUUUGACGGGUCCUUGACCCCACUCACAAAUAAACGUGUGAGUUGUAAUUUCUUUAACGAAAACCUUUCAAUGAAGUAUAUAUAUAUGACGGAAACAUAAUGUAAGGGGAGUAAAGUUAUUCGGUGACUAAUCUUGAACUCGUGAAGUCUCUACAAUAGCAAGUCUAGUCUCAAGUAGAAAUGUAAAACAGAGGAAUUUAACAGGAGAGAAAAUGCUCAAAUAGUGCAGCUACAUCAUGAUGUGAACCUAAGCCUACCCGAACAAUAAAAUGUAUGUAGAUAUGUAUGGGCUCUCGUUACAUCGCGCGUACGUAUUCCCCACAAUAAGUAGCACGCAUCAACAUACAACACCUAGGGAUAUUUCCCCCCUCACAGAGUUAGACAGGAGACUUACCUCGUCUCAAAGCUUACUUUCCAGUCCAAAAUUGUGCUUUAACUCCUCAACUCGGUGCCAAACGAUCGAAGCUUGUCAAAUGUUAUAUAAAAUAGUCAAUACAUGCUCAAGAGUUCACAUCUUAGCUAUUGAAGUGAUUUUUCCAACCCAAAUUGAAGAAUUCCUAAAAUUCACCCCAGACCCAUAUACCCAGAUUCCGAAACUUUUCGAAGAUAACCACUGCCCAUAACAUCAUGAACUCAAUAUAUGAUUUGUUCUCAAUUCCACGCCCUAAUUCAUGGUCAAAAUCAAAAAAUACCAAUUCUAGGUUUUCUACCGAAAAUCCCACAAAUUUUCCCAAAUUUUCAUGUUUAAAUCCAUGCAUAAACCAUGUAUUUAACUUACAAUAUAUGGGGAUCACUUACCUCAUUAAAGAUGACAAAAUGGCACUCCAAGAUCGCCCCCAAGGACGACUCCAACGAGAGAAAAGAGGUGAAAUGAGCCAAAACCCGAUUUAGCUAAUUUAUGUAUUCUGUCCAGGCAACCUCCGCACCUGCGCUCACUAGACCUCUUCUGCGGUUCCGCAGGUGCGGCAAAAUAUUCCGCUUCUGCGAAAGCCUCCUAGCUGCCCAGCCCGCUUCUGCAUUAAAUUCACCUGUGGACUGCCAUUCCCCCACUCCCUUUUCACAUCUGCAACCUCCUGGCCACUUUUGCGGCUCCGCACCUACAGCUAAAAUAUCGCAGGUGCGGUUACACUAGAUGACAGCAGCUCCAGCAUUCCUCCAAGCCCAAUCUCGAUCCGUUUACCAUCCGGAAUCUACCGAGGCCCUCGGAACAUCAACCAAUUAUACCAUCAUGUCUUAAAACACAAUAUGAACUUAGUCGAGCCUUCAACUCAUAUCAAACAGCACUAAAAACACAAAUCACCCUCCAAUUCAAACUUAAUGAACUUUGAAAUUUUAGACUUUUACAAUCGAUGUCGAAGCCUAUCAAAUCACGUCCGAUUGACCUCAAAAUUUGCACACAAGUCAUAAUUGACAUUACGGACCUACUCCCACUUCCGGAAUCAGAAUCCGACCCCGAUAACAAAAAGUCCACCCCCCGUAUUAGGUCUAGAGGAACAAACUAACUCCGCAAUAAAAAUGAUUUCUGGGGAAAGGCUGCGGUAGAGUGCAGAUAUGGCUUCCUCUAAUAUUGGCUUUGUCAUGAGAAUCACCUUUUGCUGUAAAUAUAAGGAAAUGAGUUUACUUUUAUAUGCACUAACUGUAAACAUACAGAAUAUUUAUAUAUACAAAAAAUAUAUAUUUUUCGGGUAUUAUAUAUUUUGAGAGUGGCUAUACAGUGUCAACUUUUCAUUAUUUGACCUUUUUCAACACAAUUUCGAAUUUUUUUUUUCAAGUAUCAACAAAAUUUAUGUCCAAACGCUAGUUAAGUAAAAGGAAAUAAGUCUAAGCUUUAUGUACCGAUAAGAUAAGAAAUACUAUCAGAUCACUUAAAUGAUAACUAUACGUUUUACACUAUACCUUUUACACUAUCAGUAUAUAUAAGUAAAAUUCAUAAGAACUUGUUAUUUAUAAUUGUUGCGAGUUUAUAACUCCAUUAGGAAUAAAAAGGUGUUUGAUGAUACCUGGAGCUUAGAAUNUUUUGCAUNNN
Molecule: long non-coding RNA, 2949 nt
Filed under: Nicotiana tabacum (common tobacco)
Lineage: Eukaryota; Viridiplantae; Streptophyta; Magnoliopsida; Solanales; Solanaceae
Description: long non-coding RNA (NTAB_LNC019316)
Source: RNAcentral